This 371-nucleotide ribosomal RNA is filed under the name uncultured bacterium. RNAcentral's name for it is "bacterial SSU rRNA". It matches the Rfam family "Bacterial small subunit ribosomal RNA", at positions 524 to 898 of the family's 1533-position model. The record is from RNAcentral.
UACGUAGGGGGCUAGCGUUGUCCGGAUUUACUGGGCGUAAAGGGUGAGUAGGCGGUUGCAUAAGUCAGAUGUAAAAGGCGUGGGCUUAACUUACGUUAGCAUUUGAAACUGUGCGACUUGAGUGCAGGAGAGGUAAGUGGAAUUCCUAGUGUAGCGGUGAAAUGCGUAGAUAUUAGGAGGAACACCAGUGGCGAAGGCGACUUACUGGACUGUAACUGACGCUGAGUCACGAAAGCGUGGGUAGCAAACAGGAUUAGAUACCCUGGUAGUCCACGCUGUAAACGAUGAGUGCUAGGUGUUGGGUAGCGAUACUCAGUGCCGAAGUUAACACAAUAAGCACUCCGCCUGGGGAGUACGGUCGCAAGACUGAA